Molecule: ribosomal RNA, 253 nt
Filed under: uncultured bacterium
Lineage: Bacteria
Description: partial 16S ribosomal RNA
Rfam family: Bacterial small subunit ribosomal RNA
Source: RNAcentral
UACAGAGGGUGCAAGCGUUAAUCGGAAUUACUGGGCGUAAAGCGUGCGUAGACGGUUAUGUAAGUCAGAUGUGAAAGCCCCGGGCUCAACCUGGGAAUUGCAUUUGAAACUGCAUAGCUAGGAUGCGGAAGAGGGCAGUGGAAUUUCCGGUGUAGCGGUGAAAUGCGUAGAUAUCGGAAGGAACAUCAGUGGCGAAAGCGACUGCCUGGUCCAGCAUCGACGUUCAGGCACGAAAGCGUGGGGAGCAAACAGG